This 591-nucleotide ribosomal RNA is filed under the name Triticum aestivum (bread wheat). RNAcentral describes it as "partial small subunit ribosomal RNA". The record is from RNAcentral. Lineage: Eukaryota; Viridiplantae; Streptophyta; Magnoliopsida; Poales; Poaceae.
AUGGAGGUUGCCUCAUCAAUCCCCGCCAUGGAGGUCGCCGUAUCAGCAGUUGCAAGUGAACUUGUGAGCCGGUUCAUCUCCUUCCUGAUGAGCAAGUACCACUCCUCCAGCCAGGCACAAUCAGAGAACAAGAUGGUGGAGGGGUUGCAACAUCUCCUGAUCAGAGUUGGCACCAUCGUUGAGGAGGCAGAUGCUCGAUACAUAACCAACUUCGGGAUGAUGAUGCAGCUCAAGAUGCUCUCGGAGGCCAUGUACCGAGGUCACAGCCUCCUCGAUACCUUGAGGUAUGGGGCCCUCCAAGACGGUGCAAGCUUUGACGAGGUUAGCAACAGCAACUCAUCUAGCAGCAGUUUGUAUUUACCAAAUCCACUCAAGCGUUGUCGAACAACAGCAGAGAAAGGCAACAAGGCCAUGGGCCUGGAUUCACAUGGUGCUUUGGAAAGCUUAGAAAUUGCUGUAGCAAACAUGUCAGAGUUUGUUGUGCUUCUGGCUGGAUGUGAGCGCAUGUCCCGUAGGCCAUAUGAUGUUUAUCUUUACACCGACAACUUCAUGUUCAGUUCAGCGGACACGCUGAAAAGCAAAAGCUCUUGA